RNAcentral lists this long non-coding RNA (277 nucleotides) under Homo sapiens (human). Its description in RNAcentral is "long non-coding RNA NONHSAT231710". Lineage: Eukaryota; Metazoa; Chordata; Mammalia; Primates; Hominidae. The record is from RNAcentral.
CUUGUCGAGUCCGCAUCAGCCCCCAGGAGUGUGUCUGCCGCACACUUGACCGGCAUCCGUCAUGCACAAGAAGCAGAAGAAAGGCUGAAAGCCCUGGUCUGUUUCACACCUGAGUGAAAAAUUAAGUCUUUUCAUCCGUGAGGACUUCAGUCCUAGAGUAACGACCCGGGCCGCUGGACUCCCGAGGGGGCUUCCGUCUGCUCCAUCACUCAGGACCCCAAUCCCAGAGCUGAGACGGGGCAGGCCCUGAUUUUUCCUGCAGUGCGUCUACCGCAAU